GACGAACGCUGGCGGCAUGCCUAACACACGCAAGUCGAGCGAGCAGAUCCCUUCGGGGUGAAGCUAGCGGCGGACGGGUGAGUAACACGUGGGCAACCUGCCUCAUAGAGGGGAAUAGCCUUCCGAAAGGAAGAUUAAUACCGCAUAAGAUUGUGGCUUCGCAUGAAGCAGCAAUUAAAGGAGCAAUCCGCUAUGAGAUGGGCCCGCGGCGCAUUAGCUAGUUGGUUAGGUAACGGCUCACCAAGGCGACGAUGCGUAGCCGACCUGAGAGGGUGAUCGGCCACAUUGGGACUGAGACACGGCCCAGACUCCUACGGGAGGCAGCAGUGGGGAAUAUUGCACAAUGGGGGAAACCCUGAUGCAGCAAUGCCGCGUGAGUGAUGACGGCCUUCGGGUUGUAAAGCUCUGUCUUCGGGGACGAUAAUGACGGUACCCGAGGAGGAAGCCACGGCUAACUACGUGCCAGCCGCCGCAGUAA
RNAcentral lists this ribosomal RNA (478 nucleotides) under uncultured bacterium. RNAcentral's name for it is "partial 16S ribosomal RNA". It matches the Rfam family "Bacterial small subunit ribosomal RNA", at positions 28 to 523 of the family's 1533-position model. The record is from RNAcentral.